AGCAUAUUAGAGCAAACAUAGCAAAAGAUACAUCUUAAAAACAACACACAAAAUAGAUUAUUAUGCAAGCAAAAGUAAACCCAUUUGUGUUUUAUUCUGAUUAAAUAGUAAAACAAGAAUAAAUGCAUUUUAAUUUCCUAUCAGAAUCCACAUUUUAAGUGGUUACAUAAAGAUGUAGUAGAAUUUAAUACUUUCUUAGAAAUGGAUUUAUAAAAAAAAUUCCUCUGAUACUGUACAUGAGAUAAAAAUAAGUAAUAUUUUUCCAACAAGUGGAAUAGUGAGAUAGUGAUUAAGAGACUGUUUUCAAACCAAAGAUAGUCGUAUUGACCAUUCUGGGUGUCAUUGAGGCAGAACUAUCACAGCCUGAACUGCGAGAGGAAUUUUAGAAUCUAAGAUUCCAGAAACCUUAAAGAGACACCAGUUUGAUGUUAAAUGUUGAAAUUAUGUGGACUGUGUUUUUAUCUGAAAGCCUACCUCUUAUUUAUUA
Molecule: long non-coding RNA, 487 nt
Filed under: Bos taurus (domestic cattle)
Lineage: Eukaryota; Metazoa; Chordata; Mammalia; Artiodactyla; Bovidae
Description: long non-coding RNA NONBTAT020176
Source: RNAcentral